Molecule: long non-coding RNA, 922 nt
Organism: Pistacia vera
Lineage: Eukaryota; Viridiplantae; Streptophyta; Magnoliopsida; Sapindales; Anacardiaceae
Exons: 4
Source: RefSeq, a predicted model, not a curated record
CAAACCUUGAAAGCAAUGCUCCAAAUCUGCAGUUUUGAGCUUUGCCAGCAUCAAAGAGGCUACAAACAACUUUUCUAAUGCAAACAAUCUAGCUUUGAAAACAUUGAUUAGAAUAUUACUAAUUUGUCAUUAAUAAAUAAAUGCAGACCCUUGUAAACAAAUUCUUUUGGAUUGGACAAAACGUGUUCAAAUCAUAGUAGGGAUUAUCCAAGGGCUUUUGUAUCUCCAAUAAUAUUCGAGAUUGACUGUUAUUCAUCGAGACCUGAAACUUAGGAAUAUGUUAUUGGAUGAAAAUAUGAAGUCUAAAAUAUCAGAUUUUGGUAUAGCCAAAAUGCUUGUGGAAAAUUAUCAUCAAACAGAACGAAUUGUUGGAACAUGUGGUUAUAUCCCUCAAAGAGACAUAUAUUCAACUAAACUUGAUAUCUAUAGUUUUGGGGGUCUACUUUUACAAAUCAUAAGUGGAAAAAAGGUUUCAUGUUUAUAUGUCCGCAGAAGACUUGAGCCUUCUAAAGCAUGCAUAUGAGUUGUGGAAAGAUGAUAAAAGCCUGGAGUUUAUAGAUCCAUCAUUAGAUAUACACAAUCCUUUUGUAAAUUAAUAAGAUGCUUGCAAAUAGUUCUAUUAUAUGUCCAAGAAAACCGAAAUGUUGGACCAUCCAGGAUGCUCAAAACUGGAUCCGCAAAUACAGUAAUCAGCCCCAAGAAGCCUGCUUUCUUAGAACAAAGUGAUGAAAAGAAAAUGACUAAAAGUUCAGAAUUAAUUUCGGUUGAUGAUGCAACAAUUUCUGAAGAGGUGGCAAGAUGACUCUAGGCUUUUGCAAGACCAAUAUUAGGUGGUCAGAUGUUUUCAUUUUAAUAAUUUACUUUAAGCUUACUUUAGCUCAGAACAAAGAAGCAACAACAAAGAGCCGUCUAAGAAAAAAAA